Molecule: long non-coding RNA, 968 nt
Organism: Camelus dromedarius (Arabian camel)
Lineage: Eukaryota; Metazoa; Chordata; Mammalia; Artiodactyla; Camelidae
Exons: 4
Source: RefSeq, a predicted model, not a curated record
GCGCGGGCUGCCGCAGGGUCGCGUUGCAGUUGCUCUGCUCUCUUUGGAAUCCUGCAAGGCCGGCCACCGGGUUCCUGUUCUUCCCGGGGCGCAGAUUUGGGCGCAGCCUGGGUCGCACACAGCGCGCGUCCUUUCUCAGAAUGAAAAUGGAGGUUUUUACUAAGCACAGUGAAUGGUGAAGAUAGUUUACUGGAAAUUUUUGACUCUGGAGACAAAUUGAAAUCCACUAGAAUGCAUCCUCUGAAAACAAGCGAAAGGAACUGUUAAAAUGUGAUCCAUUGCAAGGGUCAAAUACAGAUUGCUUGCUACAUGUGAAGGAAUUAACUCCCAAGGACCAGUCCUCUACAAGUGACUUUUGCCUUUGGAGCACGCUUGUGGGAGUUGCCUUUGAUCCUGGCCUGCUGUCCCUGGGGGAAGGACUGUGGUGAGUGGACAGCAUGUGCCCAGUACCACUGGGAAUGAGAAGGCUUCUCUACUCCAGCCACUCGUCACCACGUGGGAAUCUGGGGUGCAGGAUGAUGUGGGAUCAGAUCUGUUUUGUUUUGUCUUUUGAAGAAAAGUGGCAAUCUAGAUAUUUCUGUGGAAUCUCCUGAUUUUAAAUGCGCUGGGUUGAAUAGUGUUCUCCUCAAAUUCAUGUUCAUCUGGAACCUCAGAACGUGGUCUUAUUAGAAAUAGGGUCUUUGCAGAUGCAAGAUGGGAUCCCGUGGCUCCCAGUCCAGUGUGUCCUUAUAUGAAGAGAAAAUAGGGACUUAGAUACACAGUGGGAAGAUGGCCACGUGAAGACAGGCAGAGAUUGGACUUACGCUGCCUCACGCCCAGGAAUGCCAAGAAUUGCCAACAUCCACCAGAAGCUAGAAUUAAGGGAGAAUUCUUCGUCCGGGGGGCAGGUGGGAGGCAUGGCCCUACUGACACCUUGAUUUUGAACUUUAAGCCUCUAGAACUGUGAGAGAAUAAAUUCCUGUUGUUUU